Molecule: ribosomal RNA, 271 nt
Filed under: uncultured bacterium
Lineage: Bacteria
Description: partial 16S ribosomal RNA
Rfam family: Bacterial small subunit ribosomal RNA
Source: RNAcentral
UACGUAGGGUGCAAGCGUUAAUCGGAAUUACUGGGCGUAAAGCGUGCGCAGGCGGUUAUGCAAGACAGAUGUGAAAUCCCCGGGCUUAACCUGGGAACUGCAUUUGUGACUGCAUAGCUAGAGUACGGUAGAGGGGGAUGGAAUUCCGCGUGCAGCAGUGAAAUGCGUAGAUAUGCGGAGGAACACCAAUGGCGAAGGCAAUCCCCUGGGCCUGCACUGACGCUCAUGCACGAAAGCGUGGGGAGCAAACAGGAUUAGAAACCCGGGUAGU